GCUUGGACUAGAUGACGACCGGCGCACGGGUGCGUAACGCGUAUAGAACCUACCUUUUACAGAGGGAUAGCCUUUAGAAAUGAAGAUUAAUACCUCAUAGAAUUAAAUUUUGGCAUCGUUAUUUAAUUAAAGAUUUAUCGGUAAAAGAUGGCUAUGCGUCCUAUUAGCUAGAUGGUAAGGUAACGGCUUACCAUGGCAAUGAUAGGUAGGGGUCCUGAGAGGGAGAUCCCCCACACUGGUACUGAGACACGGACCAGACUCCUACGGGAGGCAGCAGUGAGGAAUAUUGGUCAAUGGAGGUAACUCUGAACCAGCCAUGCCGCGUGCAGGAAGACUGCCCUAUGGGUUGUAAACUGCUUUUAUACAGGAAGAAACACUCCCACGUGUGGGAAUUUGACGGUACUGUAAGAAUAAGCACCGGCUAACUCCGUGCCAGCAGCCGCGGUAAUACGGAGGGUGCAAGCGUUAUCCGGAAUCAUUGGGUUUAAAGGGUCCGCAGGCGGUCAAUUAAGUCAGAGGUGAAAUCCCGCAGCUUAACUGUGGAACUGCCUUUGAUACUGGUUGACUUGAGUUAUAUGGAAGUAGAUAGAAUGUGUAGUGUAGCGGUGAAAUGCAUAGAUAUUACACAGAAUACCGAUUGCGAAGGCAGUCUACUACGUAUAUACUGACGCUCAUGGACGAAAGCGUGGGGGAGCGAACAGGAUUAGAUACCCUGGUAGUCCACGCCGUAAACGAUGGACACUAGUUGUUGGAUUAUUUCAGUGACUAAGCGAAAGUGAUAAGUGUCCCACCUGGGGAG
RNAcentral lists this ribosomal RNA (799 nucleotides) under Polaribacter porphyrae. RNAcentral's name for it is "bacterial SSU rRNA". It matches the Rfam family "Bacterial small subunit ribosomal RNA", at positions 77 to 880 of the family's 1533-position model. Lineage: Bacteria; Pseudomonadati; Bacteroidota; Flavobacteriia; Flavobacteriales; Flavobacteriaceae. The record is from RNAcentral.